Molecule: long non-coding RNA, 756 nt
Filed under: Numida meleagris (helmeted guineafowl)
Lineage: Eukaryota; Metazoa; Chordata; Aves; Galliformes; Numididae
Description: lncRNA (ENSNMEG00000001208.1)
Source: RNAcentral
AUGUUGAGUUUCUGUNAAGACGAUGGCCAACGGUGGAAGGGUCGCGUUGGGGUUUUGGUGUCGGACCUUUGGGUGUUGGUGGGGUCAUGGGGCACUAAAUCAUGGUUUUCCAUCAUGGUAGACUCAGAAUUGGUCAAAAAGUGCCAUUCUGACCCCAAAACCCACCAUUUUUGGUCAACUUUGGGUGAAAAUGUUGAGUUUCCGCGAAGACGAUGGCCAACGGCGGAAGGGUCGCGUUGGGGUUUUGGUGCCGGACCUUUGGGGCUCAAUGGAAUCUAUGGGGCUCUAUGGGGCUCAGCAAGAUUUCUAUGGGUCUCUAUGGGUCCCUAUGUGUCUCUAUGGCAUCUGUGGGGUCUCAGUGGGUCGCUCUGGGUCCCUAUGGGUCCCUGUGGGUCUCUAUGGGUCUCUAUGGAUUUCUAUGGGUCUCUAUGGGUCUCUAUGGGUCUCUAUGGGUCUCAGUGGGUCUCUCUAUGGGGCUCUAUGGGUCUCUAUGGAAUCUAUGGGGCUCUAAGGGGCUCAGUAGGAUUUCUAUGGGUCUCUAUGGGUGUCUAUGGGUCUCUGUGGGUCCCUAUGGGUCCCUAUGGGAUCUCUGUGUCUCCCUAUGUUUCUCUAUGGGUCUCUGUGGGUCUCUAUGGGUCCCUAUGGGAUCUGUGGGGUCUUCAUGGGUCUCCCUAUGGGGCUCUAUGGGGCUCUAUGGAAUCUAUGGGGCUCUAUGGGACUCUAUGGGUCUCUAUGGGUCCCUAUGGGUCCCUAUGG